This 1163-nucleotide long non-coding RNA is filed under the name Fragaria vesca (wild strawberry). RNAcentral's name for it is "long non-coding RNA (FVES_LNC004192)". The record is from RNAcentral. Lineage: Eukaryota; Viridiplantae; Streptophyta; Magnoliopsida; Rosales; Rosaceae.
AAAGACAAAAUAAUCUAGAGCCUUAGAUUUGAGAAGGAUAAGAUUGAAUUUUUACUUUUUCAAUGUUGCCUCAGCCUUGAAUUAACGAGCAACAUUGAAUGAGUGUAUCCGCCCAUGCCUCAGCCUUAAUUCAAAUUAAUAUUUUAAAUAGGAUGAGCGGCUAUUUUAAAUCGAAGAAGAGUUCGAAGGGCCAAAGGUCCGAAUCGUCUGAGGGAACCUCUAGCAACCCUCAAACGUCGUUUCAGGGCCAGAUGACAGCCAGACGUGCGAGCCUCCUGGAGACGGCGCAGAGGCAGCCGGAGGUGCCCCUUUCAUCGAGGCAGGCGGGCGUCCCUCGUUCCUCGAGGCAGCUGUGGCCUCAGACCCAGACGGAGGUGUCUGCACCCCGUAUGCCUGAGAUACACCGGGCGCCCACUCCAGGUCCUACUUCUUCGAGUAGUGGGUCAUCUGGGGUACAGAUGCCGCCGCCUCAUCUGUUCCUUCCGCGGAUGAUACCGGCCUUACCUGUAGUCGAUGGCUCAAGGACGCCGAUUUAUCCACUUCCCCCGCUAGUGGCUCCAUCAGCGGCGUACCGGUUCGUGCCUUUUGAUACGCCUCUUAUUUCCUCGAGGGUAUCAUCAUCGGCGACAGAGACGGAAUCCGUCGCGUCCGCCGCGAGCGCCUCAGGUAAUCAGUGAUGAAUGAUUUGUUUUCUUAUAAUUAAUAAUAAAGGGUCUCCGAUUUUAAUAAUCAAUUUGGUUUAUCAUGUGAUAGGCACCGUCGGAGCGAAGCUGACAAAGAAGAAGAGAGGCCCCGUCACAGGGAAGGCUCUCGAGAAGAUCGUGGGUACCGUGGGGAGGAUCGUCAUCAAUACUGACGGGGAUGGCCACAUAGUAUCGGGCGGGAAGUCGAGGACGUACUCCUGCCGCGUGGGAGCGCUCAUUAGGGAUAGAGUCCCUAUGUUGUGGUCAGACUGGGGCGAGGUCCCGCAGGAGGUUAAGGACAUGGUCCACAACGCGAUGUCGGUGAGUUUACAAAAUAAUAUUAUGUAUUACAUUGUUGAUUUCUCGAAAAACUAAACCAAUAAACGGUUAAAUGCAGGUGUGGUUUGAGGUUCCCGAGCACCUGAAGGACAGCUGGGCGGACGUUGUGCAUGGGGGAAGGUACGUUGGGAAGUUAAUGAA